AAUUUCAAAUUACAAAGGGAAAAAAAAAAAAAAAAAAAUUCGACUUAUUAAAUUAUAAACUGCCACGUGUCACCUCUCAUGGACUCCCAAUCAGCAAGCGAC
This is a long non-coding RNA of Cucurbita moschata (crookneck pumpkin), 102 nucleotides long. RefSeq lists it as uncharacterized. The record is from RefSeq and is a predicted model, not a curated record. The transcript is spliced from 3 exons. Lineage: Eukaryota; Viridiplantae; Streptophyta; Magnoliopsida; Cucurbitales; Cucurbitaceae.